GGGAGGUGGAGGGGUGCUUUGAGAACACACCCGCGUUCCUGCCGCCCGUUCGGCAAGUUCAGGCCUGUGAAGACGUCCCCCAGAACUCACAGCGUCGUGCCCCUUCCUUCAUAGAGUGUCCACGGUGCCCGGCGAGCAGGGGCACAAGCCCCCAGAGGCCCCUUGCCUCCGGAGAAAGCCUCCCGCAUUCGCCAGGCAGCCCGCGCGCAGGGGUCCCUCGCCCACGUUUCACGGAAGCCAUCUGCCCAGUGAAUAUAUGUGAGCGCCCUUCAUGCGGCUCUCUGGACAUUUGCGUGGGAUCGACUUGAACGUCAGUAGCUGCGCAGAGAAGGAGCGGGUUUCGCUGUAUUUUUAGCGGGGAACGCAGGUUUUAGCACAUCGGCUGAGCCUCCUGAUUCCGUCCUGCUCCGCAUGCAUGACGACUUGCCAGAAAAGAACAAUCAGUAUUGAUCUUCACGUAUAGGUGCAGUGUGUGCAUCUCUGUGCCGGCGCUGCGGAAGUGAUGUACGCGGGCCUCUCACUGUUGUGGCCUCUCCCGUUGCGGAGCACGGGCUCCGGACGCGCAGGCUCAGCGGCCAUGGCUCACGGGCCCAGCCGCUCCGCGGCACGUGGGAUCCUCCCGGACCGGGGCACGGACCCGUGUCCGCUGCAUCGGCAGGCGGACUCUCAACCACUGCGCCACCAGGGAAGAAGCCCUACAUUUGGCUUUUUAAGUUGCCUUUUAAUUCUGCAUCCUUGCUAAGCUGACUUAUGCUAGCAGCUAUUUUUGUAGAUUCCUCAACAUUUUCUGUAUAGACAAUCAUAUCACAGUGGGAAAUCAUUUGAUUUUUCAUCCUCAAGUAUGAUGCUUUUCUGGCUGGAGAAAAUUUUCAUCAGGUUGAAAUCUACUUCGAGUUUUCUGAGAGUUUGUUCAAUCAUGAACAGGUGAUGAGUUUUGUCAAUUUGUUGUUGCUGUUGUAUUUGUUGAGAUUAUUACAUGGCUUUCCUUUUUCAGUCUGUUAGUACGGUGAAUUACAUUUAUGGCAUUCCUAAUCUAAAUCCCACUUGGUCAUUCUCAAGCAAGCAGCAUCUAUUGCCUAUUAUCAGGAAGAGACGUACAGACACUUCUGCCCACUACAUCUUGCUUUAGGAGUCACCAAGGAAACACGAUACAGUCAAGCACUCACGGAACAAGCUUUACGCAGAGAAGGGACAGAGCCAAAUAGCAGCUUCCCAAGUGAGUGCUGGUCUCCCGAGGCCGGGGGGGGG
Long non-coding RNA from Globicephala melas (long-finned pilot whale), 1248 nucleotides. RefSeq lists it as uncharacterized. The record is from RefSeq and is a predicted model, not a curated record. NCBI's taxonomy places the organism in Eukaryota, Metazoa, Chordata, Mammalia, Artiodactyla, Delphinidae.